RNAcentral lists this ribosomal RNA (324 nucleotides) under uncultured bacterium. Its description in RNAcentral is "bacterial SSU rRNA". It matches the Rfam family "Bacterial small subunit ribosomal RNA", at positions 28 to 334 of the family's 1533-position model. The record is from RNAcentral.
GAUAAACGCUGGCGGCGUGCAUAACACAUGCAAGUCGAACGAUGAAACUUAACUGAUCUCUUCGGAGUGAAAUUAAGUGGAUUAGUGGCGGACGGGUGAGUAACGCGUGAGUAACCUGCCUUAGAGAAGGGGAUAGCCUUUGGAAACGAAGAAUAAUACCCUAUGAUAUGAUAGCAUCGCAUGAUAUUAUCAUCAAAAGAUUUAUCGCUCUAAGAUGGACUUGCGUCUGAUUAGUUAGUUGGUGAGGUAAAGGCUCACCAAGGCAGCGAUCAGUAGCCGGCUUGAGAGAGUGUACGGCCACAUUGGGACUGAGACACGGCCCAG